Molecule: long non-coding RNA, 4228 nt
Organism: Quercus robur (English oak)
Lineage: Eukaryota; Viridiplantae; Streptophyta; Magnoliopsida; Fagales; Fagaceae
Exons: 2
Source: RefSeq, a predicted model, not a curated record
CCAACACAACACCUUCUUCAUUUUUUCCGUUUUUUUCUCAGCCACAUUUUCUUCACUUUUUGUCUUCUUUAUUUCUCCCUUAUCUCUAUUUUCCUCCACACACUUCUUCACUUUGUCUUCUUUCAAGUUUCAACACCGCUCGGUCAAAAAAGUUUCAACACCUCUAAACUAUUACUUCAUCAAAGGGGAGAGAGUGAGAAAGAUCAAAAUGAAAAAUAGAGAGAUCUUAGCAAACCCAGAGAAAAUGAAGAACAACAAAGAGAAAGAGAGGUGGUCGCCGGUCAUUAACUGAAGAUUGGAUCAGAGCAGAGCAAACGAAAGGGAGAUACUGCAUAAGGGAAGAUUUCUCUAUAUUCCGAUGUUUUUUUGUUUUGCAUUUUGAGAAAUCCUGAUUUGCAAGGGAUUGAUAUAUAUAUAUAUAUACAUAUAUAUAUAUAUAUAUUUUUUUCCUUAGUUGAUUUGGGAAUUUGUUAUAGAUUUUUUUGUGUUUGGAUUUGGAAAUUUGUUAUUGAAUUGAACCUGGGCCAAAUGCUAUUUUUUUGUAGUCUUUGUAGAAGACGAGAUGCCACAGCAUAGCAGCAUAGAGGAGUAGAAAAAACCAUGGGCAAUUUAGGAAAAAUAGAAACCCACCAACGGUAAUAUUUUUGUUUUGAGAAAAUGCAUUUGUGUGUUUUGCAACUACAGCUCAAAGCUGCCAUGCCAAAAUGCACAAGGCCUUCACAUUUCAAAAUCCAGCUUUUUAGAAAAAGUUGUGUUUAAAACUGUACCAAACGCAAAUAUUAUUUUUUGGGUUUCAAAAAGCGCUUUUUGCCAGAGGAAAGUUCAAAGAAACGAUCACUAGCUCAAUCAAUCUACACGAUGUUUGGUAAAAAUAUCAUUAGAUUUUCACUACACCAAGAUUGCUAGCAUUGUUAAGACAACUCAUAGAUUAUGGCCGAUUCGACCAGUGAUUUAACCUUAUUAGAUCGGUAUUCAGUAGACAACCUACAAACCCAAUGUGAUCAUGUUGACACUAAAUUAGAACCCGGCCAACCAAUGAUCGCCCCUACAUAAAAUGAAAAUAUAUUUACAAAUAUAUUAUAAAGAAAAUGUAACAUUUUUCUUUUUAAAUUUUAAGGUCAAAUAGUUUAGGAAUGAAAAAAAGAAUUUUAUCAAUUUAAUGAUGAAAAACAAACUUUAUGUAAAAAAAAAAAAAAAAAAAAAAAAUCAAUGAAAAAAUUAUUUCCUAAACACGAUUUCUGAUGAUGCAAAAAAAAUCAGCAAUUGAGCUCCUUGUCGUAGUAGAUGGACGAAGCUUGGGGUCGUCUCUAUUGGAGGAAAACUUGCAAAAAUGAACUGGGUGAAAGAGUAACACGUCAGUGUGAUGUUAGCCAAACCGCCUCCGAUGCUUAAGUUAGUAAGGAAGAAAGAUUUUAGAGAGAAUUGACUGGAGAGUGAUUUUCAUAGAGUAUUUUAUGUGUACCUUUAACUUAUGUUGCCUUCUCUUUUUAUAAUUGCAUGCCUCAUUAAUUGACAAUGAAUUGCUGUAUUUAUGCUCAACAGUUAGUACGUUACAAAAUCUUUGUCUAAAGUUCAUAGCUCACUCUGUCACCGUUGCUCCCUCCGUUAUACUUUGUCAUCAAUAAGUGUAAUAAAUGCAUAACUUCUUCUCUAGGUUAAUGACGAUCUCAAAUUAAUGACGAUCAUAAAUUUCUAACUCAUCAGUUGCCCCCUUAUUUGAAUUUUGUCGGUUAAAUGAGAUGAAAACAUAUCUAUCUGACGCUUCGUAUUCCGUGUAUGGCGCAUUUAUGACGAGUUGAUAUUUGAGCUGUUGAGUGCCAUGCGUACGGUUAAGAUGCAUCUGACACGCAAACUUUCCUCGGUUUUCCCACGCACAUUUUGGCCAUUUUUCCCUCCUUUUUCCAUUUCUUCAAUUUCUUUCCUUAUUCAAUUGGCGUUCUAGGCUUUUUCUCUUCUUCAAGCUUUCUUUUUCAUUUUUGCAUUCCCUAGUAAGUUCUUCGUGCUUCUCUUUCUUUUCCUACUCUUCCAUGGUAGAUUACUCUAUUGUUAGGGUCGAUUGUCCCUCAAUAUCUUUUCUUCUUACUCGCUUAGGUCGUUUGCUUGAAAUUGUGGAGGGAGAGUGUCUCAAGGGGGUUAGUCUUUUCGUGGGGGAGGAUUGUCGGUAUAGGUUUGUCCUUUCCUCUUUAUUUCCUUUGGUUUCUUGUUCUACUAGAGUUGCUAGGUCUUUGAAAAUGUCUGGGGAGGUCAGGUCUAGUGAGCUGUAAACAGGGUUAUCUUCGCCUGAUAAUCGCGAGAUUCCCAAAGUUUCUUCCCCUUCUACUCCCUAUAAAGCUUGGAACAUCCAAUGUGCCCUCUUAGAGAAAGAUGAGAAGCGAAUCAGGGAUAGGUUUCAAUUUCCUUAUUCGGUUAGAAUUAGGAUUCCGAGUGAUAAAGAUAGGGCCUAUCAUUCAUAUGUCGAUGAAGUCUGUUUCUACGAAACGGAUUUCGCUAGUGGCCUUCGUCUUCUUGUCCAUCCCUUUGUUAGGGAACUUUUCGUGUAUUUGCACAUUGCCUCAGCACAAUUAGUGCCUAAUUCUUGGUUGAUCGUCAUUUGUUAUAUGGUGGUGUGGUUGUCUUCCAAUGACGGGGACGUCAUCAAAAAAGAAGAAUUUCUCCAUUUUUAUCUUUUGAGAAAGUCCAAAGACCCUUACUACUAGGAAUUUAAGCCAUGGGAUAAGGCUUCUAGGUUAAUACUUGACUGUCCAUCGCCCUCCGCAAUUGGAAACCAAACUUCUUCUUUAUUUUGGGCAGCGGUUGGGAGUUCAUCCCUGGUGAAGGCCUGGAUGAAGCCUCCAAGUUUUUUCGUAAUUAGGGAACUCCUGUGUCUGGUGCGUCCUUCUUGUCUUUUCUUCCUGUUCUUUAUCUAUUCUUUGUGAGUGACAAUGAUAUAUGAUAUACUUGCUUUUUGUAGUUCCUUAACGCUCUUGUCUAAAUAAGAGAUAUCAUAAUUGUGUUGAGAAGGUCAAAGAAUAUCUCAGGACUGUUAGAGAUUUCGACGACCUUAUCUCUCCUCAAUCACUGUUCCUCCAUUUUUUUGGCCCAAAGCCCUCAAGCAAGGUUCGAAAGAAUUUAGAGGUUGUGAAGAAAAGGAUGACGACUAGGUUUAGCAAACAGAAACUAGCCGAGGCCCAAGAGAAGAAAGCCCGGAGCAGCAUUGUUGGUGGCCUUCUGUCUAGGAAGCAUCAGAAAGUGGGCGACGCUCCCUUCGAAGUGCCCGUGGUGACUCCUCCUUUUGCUCACUCUCCUUCCAAGCGUCCUCCCUCUCUCACAUUGUCUCUGGAGGUGAUGGUCUCUUCAGAGGGGGGUGCUAGAGGAAAAUCCGUUUGCAAGCCUUUUCCCUUAACCUUUUGGAAUGAUGCUAACACCACUGCGUUGAAGGCGCAUGAGGCGCUUUUAAUGGAUGAUCUAAAUCCUUUAAUGUCGAAGUCGUCUGGUGAUGUGAUGUCAUCUCACAUUUAGAAAUUGGUGCAAAUGUGUUCUAACGACGUAGGUUGCUUUUUCUUUUUUGUUUUGCUUUUGCUAAGAGAGAUUUUUUCAUAUGUAGGCUUUGGGGAGUCCUUGUUCGUCUCUGGGAAGCUUCUAGAUUUGGAGAAAAAGAUGGCCACAACUGAACCUAUGAUCAAAUCUCUCUCUGCUGAGAAUGAGACGCUCAAGAACAAGGUUGUCAUCCUUACUGUUGAAACUAAGAAUGACAAAGAACGUGUGGCAGCUUUGGAGAAGAGUCUUCAAGUGGAGAAGGAUUUUUCUAAGCUGAAGGACAAGCAGAUAGGUAGUCUUCAGUUUAAAUUGAAAAAAGCUGGUCCUGAUGCUGUACAGGAGUUCAAGGAAUCUAACUUGUACUUAGACAACCUCUGUGAGUACAAUGUGGAGGGUUUUGAACUCUUCAGAAGAUGGAUGGCUAAGCACCACCCAGAACUAGAUCUCUCUGGUCUGGUAAUGGGUGAAGUGGAGGAGUUUGUAGCAAAUUGUCCUUCCAAGGUCACGGAGGAGAAUGUAGUAGAAGAACCUACGAUCGUUGCUCCUGUAGAUAUGUCCCUCUCUGAUCUAGCUAGAUAGUAAUUUUCUUUAUUUUCUUUCAUUUUCUCCCUUUUUUGUAAGGCAAAAACAAUGUCUUUAUGGACCUCAUUGUUUUGAGCAUAUAUUUAUUGGGCAAUUUAUUGUUUUGGGCCCGUGUGUUUUGGGCAUGCAA